This 433-nucleotide ribosomal RNA is filed under the name uncultured bacterium. Its description in RNAcentral is "partial 16S ribosomal RNA". It matches the Rfam family "Bacterial small subunit ribosomal RNA", at positions 29 to 507 of the family's 1533-position model. The record is from RNAcentral.
AACGAACGCUGGCGGCAUGCCUAACUCAUGCAAGUCGAACGAGACCUUCGGGUCUAGUGGCGCACGGGUGCGUAACGCGUGGGAACCUGCCUUUAGGUUCGGAAUAACUCAGAGAAAUUUGAGCUAAUACCGGAUGAUGUCUUCGGACCAAAGAUUUAUCGCCUUUAGAUGGGCCCGCGUUGGAUUAGCUAGUUGGUGGGGUAAAGGCCUACCAAGGCGACGAUCCAUAGCUGGUCUGAGAGGAUGAUCAGCCACACUGGGACUGAGACACGGCCCAGACUCCUACGGGAGGCAGCAGUGGGGAAUAUUGGACAAUGGGCGAAAGCCUGAUCCAGCAAUGCCGCGUGAGUGAUGAAGGCCUUAGGGUUGUAAAGCUCUUUUACCCGAGAUGAUAAUGACAGUAUCGGGAGAAUAAGCUCCGGCUAACUCCGUG